GGAACCGUGGUGUAGUCGGUCUAACAUGCCUGCCUGUCACGCAGGAGAUCGCGGGUUCGAAUCCCGUCGGUUCCGCCA
RNAcentral lists this transfer RNA (78 nucleotides) under Paenibacillus sp. Its description in RNAcentral is "tRNA-Asp". It matches the Rfam family "tRNA". Rfam says of the family: Transfer RNA (tRNA) molecules are approximately 80 nucleotides in length. The record is from RNAcentral. RNAcentral also lists the same sequence under 2 other names. Lineage: Bacteria; Bacillati; Bacillota; Bacilli; Caryophanales; Paenibacillaceae.